Molecule: unclassified non-coding RNA, 156 nt
Filed under: soil metagenome
Description: partial internal transcribed spacer 1
Source: RNAcentral
CAAGUGACCCCGGUCUAACCACCGGGAUGUUCAUAACCCUUUGUUGUCCGACUCUGUUGCCUCCGGGGCGACCCUGCCUUCGGGCGGGGGCUCCGGGUGGACACUUUCAAACUCUUGCGUAACUUUGCAGUCUGAGUAAACUUAAUUAAUAAAUUA